Molecule: ribosomal RNA, 402 nt
Filed under: Ignatzschineria indica
Lineage: Bacteria; Pseudomonadati; Pseudomonadota; Gammaproteobacteria; Cardiobacteriales; Ignatzschineriaceae
Description: bacterial LSU rRNA
Rfam family: Bacterial large subunit ribosomal RNA
Source: RNAcentral
UUAUAUGGUCAAGUGAAUAAGCGUACAUGGCGGAUGCCUUGGCGAUUACAGGCGAUGAAGGACGUGGAAGUCUGCGAAAAGUUUCGGGGAGCUGGCAAUCAAGCUUUGAUCCGGAAAUGUCCGAAUGGGGAAACCCGCACAGGCUUAAAACCCUGUCAUCCUUUAACUGAAUAUAUAGGUUUAAGGAAGCGAACCUGGUGAACUGAAACAUCUAAGUAACCAGAGGAAAAGAAAUCAAUUGAGAUUCCCGCAGUAGUGGCGAGCGACCCGGGAAGAGCCGAUAUGUGAUAACUUAUUGUAUAGAAGAAUCAUCUGGAAAGAUGAGCCGUAGUGGGUGAUAGCCCCGUAUUUUAAAUACAGUAAGUGGUACUAGGCAUAUCAACAAGUAGGGCGGGACACGAG